CACCACCACAUUCACCUCCCCCACCGAUUUAUCCAUAUCUGUCUCCACCGCCCCCACCAACACCAGUUUCUUCUCCACCACCCACUCCGGUCUAUUCCCCUCCUCCCCCACCUCCUUGUAUAGAACCACCACCACCUCCACCGUGUAUAGAGUAUUCACCUCCUCCUCCUCCACCAGUCGUUCAUUAUAGCUCUCCGCCUCCACCGCCAGUCUACUACAGCUCUCCGCCACCUCCACCAGUCUAUUACAGCUCUCCACCUCCGCCACCGCCGGUUCAUUACAGCUCUCCGCCACCACCAGAAGUCCAUUACCAUUCUCCGCCUCCAUCUCCAGUACACUACAGCUCUCCACCACCGCCACCAUCAGCUCCAUGUGAAGAAUCUCCUCCACCAGCACCGGUAGUUCACCACAGUCCACCACCGCCCAUGGUUCACCACAGCCCACCACCUCCAGUGAUCCACCAAAGCCCACCACCGCCAUCUCCUGAAUAUGAAGGACCACUACCACCGGUCAUCGGCGUAUCAUACGCAUCUCCUCCACCACCGCCGUUCUAUUGAUUCUUUUGGAAAACACGAGACUGAAACGAUUGACGUGACACGAACAGAUCGAAACACUAUACGACGUCGUUGUCAAUUCUUACAAAAAGAAAAAAAAAAAGAAAUUAUAAGAAAAAGAAAUGGCUGAUUAAAGAGUUGUUUGUUGUAUAGAGGAUGAGUCUCUUUUGUGUUUUCUAUUAAUUUUAUUUUUUUCCCUCUUUUAUUUGGAUUUCUUAGCACAUUAUUCGCUUUAGAUUUUGUAUUUUAUAUAUGCGAAGAGCUUAGGC
RNAcentral lists this long non-coding RNA (823 nucleotides) under Arabidopsis thaliana (thale cress). RNAcentral's name for it is "long non-coding RNA (ATHA_LNC000250)". Lineage: Eukaryota; Viridiplantae; Streptophyta; Magnoliopsida; Brassicales; Brassicaceae. The record is from RNAcentral.